CUCAGGCAUUUCUUUCCCGGUGGUGCUCGGACAGGGAAGGUAUCACCCCCUCCAGUCACACUGGCUUAUCAGCCCGAGGAGAUGGAAAGGGAGCAGCCUGUGGAAUGUCAGGCCCUGCUGGCUGCACGCCCAUAUACAGUUCAGCAACCUCGGCGAGAACAACCCCGGCUGCUGCUGCGGCUGCCACUCGGGUUAUUUCCUCUGGGCUCAGCUGCAGCCUGCAGAGCUCUGCAAAGGGGAGGGGUUUCUUCGCUCCCUCCCUCCCGAGGGGGGUCCUGCCCCAGCCCCAGCCCCAGCGAUGGGACAGGAGUCAGGACCAGCCCCGGGCCGGUUGAAUUGAAAGCAAACCGUGGCAGCUCCACGCAAGGCGAGAGCGCUGGCAGGAUGCCCCGGGCUGGCGCCCCCGCUCCCAGCUGUCAGUGAAGGAGCGAAGCUUUGCGGCCGGGAUGUUCAGCUGGCACAAGAGCUUCACCCUGGGAGCGCCCUGGAGACAAGCAGGCAAGAAGAACUCACCAUCCAAGGGCAAGGUAGUGCUGACCAACAUGAAGAUACUGAGCAACGAAGAGAGUCAAACCCAAGGGUUGACAGGAGAGCCACCUGCAGCCAUGGACUUUCCAGAGGAAUCCAGGCUUCCCAAAGUCGACAUCCCAUUAGAAUGCCAGGGAAAUCUGGGCACAAGAGACACUUCUUCAAAACCAGACUAUGUGGCCACCCUGUCUGACCUCAGCACCUUAGAAUCCAAGUGCCAGCUUCACAGAUUCUCCAAAUUUGAAUCAGAGGAUUCUGGGGUUGAAUUGCCAAGUGGAGCCAAUUCUCCAUCUACACCAACGGGCUCAGAGAAGAGCUUUGUGCUUCACACCAGAGACUCGUCUUGUGACUCUGGAGUGCUCAGCACCUCUUCUUCUCCAGGAAUUGACCAUAUCAUAAUGAGAAAGUGUAAAGACAUCAGAGAAACCAGCCAGUGUGCUUCAGAUAGUGAAAAGCAAGUUGAAUAUUACAGCCAGGCAGCAGACAUGGUGCAGAUCCCUACAGCUUCCCUGGAAGAUUUCAGUGACCGUCAGAAGGGAGAAAGUCCUAAUAAACUUUUUGGCCAAAGUGAAGGACAAUAUUUUGAAGAGAAACCCAGGAAAGAGAUAGACCUUUCCAUUAAAGAAACUGCUCCAGCUGCUGCCCACAUUGAAGAGCAAAGGCCAAUCACCAACCGUUACAAAGAGACCUUUGGGAGGAUGCAAGAACUUCAGCUCCAUGGACAUCAGCUCAAAAAGUAUCCCACGAGCGACAGCCUGGAUGAGUACAUGGAUGAAUGCUGUCGAUUAAGUGAGGUGAACCAAGGGAACACCAAGGCUCUCGGCUCAGGUUUGGGGUAUCUGGAACACAUCUGCCAGCUGAUAGAGAAAAUUGGGCAGCUACAGGAGCACAAUCUGCGACUCCAAAAGCAAGUGUGCGGUUUGCAGAAGGAGCAGAAGAUGAACCAGAUAAAGGAGGAGUAUUUUCUGCAGCACUGUUCCUGUGGAGCUGCCAGCAUCUUGCUCAACUCAUACCAGGAGGUGAAGAAAUUUUUUAUUGGGAGGAGCAGACCGCACAGUCUCUUGGUUCAGAGUGGAAACCAGUCCGACCUUUCGAUCAUCCCAGAAAGAGGAAGUGACACACACCUGGAAUCAGGAGAUAGACAGCUGGUGCUGGGGCUCAGGAAGACCUGGAGUAAAAGGAGCAAUGAGGAGAAUGAACUCAGAGAUGCCUAUAAUCUGACUGAUGGCCGAGCUUUCCUGCUAAAGGACCCAAUUACGAAAAAGAGGGCUGACCUCGGCAAGAGUAUCCCAGGUGAAAGCCACGCUUGGGGCAGAAUGAGGGAUCUCAUGAAGAAGACCAGGCUGAGGAACCAGACCAAGUUGGGGCUGUCAUCGGCAGCUCUGAAGAGGUCCUGCCCACAGCUCUACAGGCCAGAUGUUAAGACUUCGGAUCGGAGGAAGAUGGAGAGGAACUCCAUGAUUGUUCUGGGACAAAGCACAAAAAAUGAAAACAUCUGGCCUUUCUGAGCAUCUGAAUCCAAUGGACCAAGGUAAAAGAGUUAUCAGGGAGGAGGCUUUUUCCUUCCUCCAGCAGAGAAGUGAUUUUGCAUCCCAUUACCAAGCUAUGUUUCCAUGGGCAAAGACUUGGGUAAGGUCUGAUUGCUGUAUGUAGCCCCAGUAACUAAGCCCAUGGAACUACUAUCAUUUACAAGAGCUGAGGAUAUGGCCCAUGUAUAUUUAUUGUAAAAUGAAGACUAAUUUGAGGUAAAACUGUCUAGAUUUUUAAGGAACAACAGGUAGUAAUCAAUGGCUCAAUGUCUAGUUGCCUCAGGGGUCUGUCAUGGGGCCAGUUUUGUUCAACAUCUUCAUUAAUGAUCUGGAUGAUGGGAUGGAUUGCACCCUCAGCAAGUUCAUGUGUGACACUAAGCUGGGGGGAGAGGUAGAUUCACUGGAGGGUAGGGAUAGGGUCCAGAGUGACCUAGAUAAAUUGAAAAUUUGGGCUAAAAGAAAUCUGAUGAUGUUCAACAAGGGCAAGUGCAGAGCCCAUGCACAGCUACAGGCUGGGGACCGACUGGCUAAGUGGCAGUUCUGCAGAAAAGGACUUGGGGAGUACAGUGGACGAGCAGCUGGAUAUGAGUCAGCAGUGUGCCCUUGUUGCCAAGAAGGCUAACUGCAUAUUGGGCUUCAUUAGUAGGAGCAUUGCCAGCAGAUCGAGGGAAGUGAUUAUUCCCCUCUAUUCUGCACUGCUGAGGCCACAUCUGGAGUAUUGUGUCCAAUUUUGAUCCCCCCACUACAGAAAGGAUGUGGACAAAUUGGAAAGAGUCCUUCGGAGGGCAACGAAAAUGAUUAGGGGGCUGGGGCACAUGACUUAUGAGGAGAGGCUGAGGGAAGUGGGCUUAUUUAGUCUGCAGAAGAGAAGAGUGAGGGGAGAUUUGACAGCAGCCUUCAACUACCUGAAGGGGGGUUCCAAAGAAGAUGGAGCUAGGCUGUUCUCAGUGGUGGCAGAUGACAGAACAAGGAGUAAUGGUCUCAGGUUGCAGUUGUGGAGGUCUAGGUUGGAUAUUAGGAAAAACUGUUUCACUAGGAGGUGGUGAAGCACUGGAAUGGGUUACCUAGGAAGGUGGUGUAAUCUCCAUCCUUAGAGGUUUUUAAGGUCAGGCUUGACAAAGCCCUGGCUGGGGUGAUUUAGUUGGGAUUGGUCCUACUUUGAGCAGGGGAUGGACUAGAUAACCUCCUGAGGUCUCUUCCAACCCUAAUCUUCUAUGAUUCUAUGAACAUUCUGACCAUAUUGUCUGCCCUCCUGUACAACUUAGGCCUCAGAUACUCACCCAGCAAUCCCUGCAUUAAACGCACUAACUUGCCAUUGAACUAGAGCAUAUAUUUCAGAGUGACAUCCAGUGAUGGAGAAUCCACCCCAUCCCUCAGCACUUGAGAGCAUCCCCAUAUUCAAACCUGAAUAAAAACAGAUUCACCCCAUCCUCUAGGUCA
Gopherus agassizii (Agassiz's desert tortoise) is the source of this 3497-nucleotide long non-coding RNA. NCBI's taxonomy places the organism in Eukaryota, Metazoa, Chordata, Testudines, Testudinidae. The record is from Ensembl.